This 295-nucleotide ribosomal RNA is filed under the name uncultured Nereida sp. RNAcentral's name for it is "partial 16S ribosomal RNA". It matches the Rfam family "Bacterial small subunit ribosomal RNA", at positions 523 to 817 of the family's 1533-position model. The record is from RNAcentral. Lineage: Bacteria; Pseudomonadati; Pseudomonadota; Alphaproteobacteria; Rhodobacterales; Roseobacteraceae.
AUACGAAGGGGGCUAGCGUUGUUCGGAAUUACUGGGCGUAAAGCGCACGUAGGCGGAUUAGUAAGUUAGAGGUGACAUCCCAGGGCUCAACCCUGGAACUGCCUUUAAUACUGCUAGUCUAGAGUUCGAGAGAGGUGAGUGGAAUUCCAAGUGUAGAGGUGAAAUUCGUAGAUAUUUGGAGGAACACCAGUGGCGAAGGCGGCUCACUGGCUCGAUACUGACGCUGAGGUACGAAAGUGUGGGGAGCAAACAGGAUUAGAUACCCUGGUAGUCCACGCCGUAAACGAUGUCAACG